Molecule: ribosomal RNA, 461 nt
Filed under: uncultured bacterium
Lineage: Bacteria
Description: partial 16S ribosomal RNA
Rfam family: Bacterial small subunit ribosomal RNA
Source: RNAcentral
CCUACGGGCGUCAGCAGUGAGGAAUAUUGGUCAAUGGACGCAAGUCUGAACCAGCCAAGUAGCGUGCAGGAUGACGGCCCUCCGGGUUGUAAACUGCUUUUAGUUGGGAAUAAAAGGGGGCUCGUGAGCCCCGUAUUGUAUGUACCAUCAGAAAAAGCAUCGGCUAACUCCGUGCCAGCAGCCGCGGUAAUACGGAGGAUGCGAGCGUUAUCCGGAUUUAUUGGGUUUAAAGGGUGCGCAGGCGGAGGUGCAAGUCAGCGGGCAAAUUGCGGGGCUCAACCCCGUACUGCCGUUGAAACUGCAUCCCUUGAGUGCGCGAGAAGUAUGCGGAAUGCGUGGUGUAGCGGGGAAAUGCAUAGAUAUCACGCAGAACUCCGAUUGCGAAGGCAGCAUACCGGCGCGCAACUGACGCUCAUGCACGAAAGCGUGGGUAUCGAACAGGAUUAGAUACCCUAGUAGUC